This is a non-coding RNA of Salarias fasciatus (jewelled blenny), 73 nucleotides long. NCBI's taxonomy places the organism in Eukaryota, Metazoa, Chordata, Actinopteri, Blenniiformes, Blenniidae. The record is from the annotation of a RefSeq genome assembly.
GCCAAAAUAGCUCAGUUGGGAGAGUGUAAGACCGAAGAUCCAAUGGUCCCUGGUUCAAUCCUGGGUUUUGGCU